RNAcentral lists this unclassified non-coding RNA (337 nucleotides) under soil metagenome. Its description in RNAcentral is "partial contains 5.8S ribosomal RNA, internal transcribed spacer 2, and large subunit ribosomal RNA". The stretch from base 1 to 120 matches the Rfam family "5.8S ribosomal RNA", at positions 35 to 154 of the family's 154-position model. The record is from RNAcentral.
GAUGAAGAACGUAGCGAAAUGCGAUAAGUAGUAUGAAUUGCAGAAUUCAGUGAAUCAUCGAAUCUUUGAACGCACAUUGCGCCCCAUGGUAUUCCGUGGGGCAUGUCUGUUCGAGCGUCAUUUACCCCCUCAAGCUCCGCUUGGUGUUGGGCGUCUGUCCCGCUUCGCGCGCGGACUCGCCCCAAAGGUAUUGGCAGCGGUCGUGCCAGCUUCUCGCGCAGCACAUUGCGCUUCUCGAGGCACCGGUGGGCCCGCGUCCAUCAAGCUCACCCCCCCAGUUUGACCUCGGAUCAGGUAGGGAUACCCGCUGAACUUAAGCAUAUCAAUAAGAGGAGGA